RNAcentral lists this ribosomal RNA (956 nucleotides) under Loigolactobacillus coryniformis. Its description in RNAcentral is "bacterial SSU rRNA". It matches the Rfam family "Bacterial small subunit ribosomal RNA", at positions 382 to 1331 of the family's 1533-position model. Lineage: Bacteria; Bacillati; Bacillota; Bacilli; Lactobacillales; Lactobacillaceae. The record is from RNAcentral.
UCUGAUGGAGCAACGCCGCGUGAGUGAAGAAGGUUUUAGGAUCGUAAAACUCUGUUGUUGGAGAAGAACAGGGACUAGAGUAACUGUUAGUCCUUUGACGGUAUCCAACCAGAAAGCCACGGCUAACUACGUGCCAGCAGCCGCGGUAAUACGUAGGUGGCAAGCGUUGUCCGGAUUUAUUGGGCGUAAAGCGAGCGCAGGCGGUUUUUUAAGUCUGAUGUGAAAGCCUUCGGCUUAACCGAAGAAGUGCAUUAGAAACUGGGAAACUUGAGUGCAGAAGAGGACAGUGGAACUCCAUGUGUAGCGGUGAAAUGCGUAGAUAUAUGGAAGAACACCAGUGGCGAAGGCGGCUGUCUGGUCUGUAACUGACGCUGAGGCUCGAAAGUAUGGGGAGCGAACAGGAUUAGAUACCCUGGUAGUCCAUACCGUAAACGAUGAAUGCUAAGUGUUGGAGGGUUUCCGCCCUUCAGUGCUGCAGCUAACGCAUUAAGCAUUCCGCCUGGGGAGUACGACCGCAAGGUUGAAACUCAAAGGAAUUGACGGGGGCCCGCACAAGCGGUGGAGCAUGUGGUUUAAUUCGAAGCAACGCGAAGAACCUUACCAGGUCUUGACAUCCUUUGACCACUGUAGAGAUACAGCUUUCCCUUCGGGGACAAAGUGACAGGUGGUGCAUGGUUGUCGUCAGCUCGUGUCGUGAGAUGUUGGGUUAAGUCCCGCAACGAGCGCAACCCUUAUGACUAGUUGCCAGCAUUUAGUUGGGCACUCUAGUAAGACUGCCGGUGACAAACCGGAGGAAGGUGGGGAUGACGUCAAAUCAGCAUGCCCCUUAUGACCUGGGCUACACACGUGCUACAAUGGUCGGUACAACGAGUUGCGAACCCGCGAGGGUAAGCUAAUCUCUUAAAGCCGAUCUCAGUUCGGAUUGUAGGCUGCAACUCGCCUACAUGAAGCCGGAA